Long non-coding RNA from Myotis brandtii (Brandt's bat), 140 nucleotides. RefSeq lists it as uncharacterized. The transcript has 3 exons. NCBI's taxonomy places the organism in Eukaryota, Metazoa, Chordata, Mammalia, Chiroptera, Vespertilionidae. The record is from RefSeq and is a predicted model, not a curated record.
AGCAGGCACAAGGUCGUGUGAGCCCUGGCCAGAGUAGCACAGUUGGUCAGAGCAUUGUCCAGAUACAACAAGGUUGUGGGUUCGAUCCCUGGUCAGGGCACACACAAGAAUCAAUCAAUGAAUGCAUAAAUAAAUGGAAC